This 404-nucleotide ribosomal RNA is filed under the name Brucella melitensis. Its description in RNAcentral is "partial 16S ribosomal RNA". It matches the Rfam family "Bacterial small subunit ribosomal RNA", at positions 355 to 776 of the family's 1533-position model. RNAcentral also lists the same sequence under 1 other name. The record is from RNAcentral. Lineage: Bacteria; Pseudomonadati; Pseudomonadota; Alphaproteobacteria; Hyphomicrobiales; Brucellaceae.
UGGGGAAUAUUGGACAAUGGGCGCAAGCCUGAUCCAGCCAUGCCGCGUGAGUGAUGAAGGCCCUAGGGUUGUAAAGCUCUUUCACCGGUGAAGAUAAUGACGGUAACCGGAGAAGAAGCCCCGGCUAACUUCGUGCCAGCAGCCGCGGUAAUACGAAGGGGGCUAGCGUUGUUCGGAUUUACUGGGCGUAAAGCGCACGUAGGCGGACUUUUAAGUCAGGGGUGAAAUCCCGGGGCUCAACCCCGGAACUGCCUUUGAUACUGGAAGUCUUGAGUAUGGUAGAGGUGAGUGGAAUUCCGAGUGUAGAGGUGAAAUUCCUAGAUAUUCGGAGGAACACCAGUGGCGAAGGCGGCUCACUGGACCAUUACUGACGCUGAGGUGCGAAAGCGUGGGGAGCAAACAGG